This is a long non-coding RNA of Hipposideros armiger (great roundleaf bat), 2123 nucleotides long. RefSeq lists it as uncharacterized. NCBI's taxonomy places the organism in Eukaryota, Metazoa, Chordata, Mammalia, Chiroptera, Hipposideridae. The record is from RefSeq and is a predicted model, not a curated record. The transcript has 5 exons.
AGACAGGAAGUCCCGGACGCCUGCCCCGAGAGCGGCCCGGCCCGCGGCGAGGGACACCUGAGGCUGGAAAUCGCCCCGGGGCCGCGGCCAGGAGAAGGCCCCUCGGCAGGAAGAGGCACAUUUCACGCUCUGCGGAAGAAAAGUCUUCAAUUGUCCUCAGUCUGGAAAAGAGCCAUUAAUCAAAUUUUCUUCCUGGGAGAGAUCUAAUACCUAGUCCCGCAGCUGUAAAUAAAGAUUUUCACGUACUGUACUUAGAAGAGAGUAUUUAGAAGGAAAGAAAGUAAGCCGAAGAUUUCUCUCUGGAGGUGACAGAGGAAGACAACUGCCAUGUCCUAAAUACACUCAAGUAACUAUGGAGAGGCCCAUUAGGCAAGGAACAAUGGCAUCCUGCUAACAGUCUCAUAACAGAGCUAUCUAAGAGACAGAACCUCCAGCCCUUAAUCAAGCCUUCAGAUGACUGCAGCUUCCCGAAAGAACCUGAGCUAGAAUCAUGCAGAACACAGAAUCAUAAAAUGUUAUGGUUGGAAAGGAGCCUAGUGACAACAUCACCUAGAGGUUUUCAAAAAAUAAGGAACCUACACAUCUUGAUCUCCUUUCCUGACUACCAUGAAUGAGGUUUGUUUCUUACCUAAGAAAUAGCAUACUACAGGUGAAGAUAGCAUCUUUGACUACUACCUCCGGUCCUCCAUUCACCAUUCUAUCUCCCCCAAAGAAACCACUGACAUGAGGUUUGUGUAUAAUCUUCCAGUCUAUUUUUUAUACUUUUAUGUUUUUGUGUGUAUAUAUAUUUAUGUGUGCGUGUGUGUGUGUUUGUCCCAAAAUGAUAUAUAGCAUUAUUUUGCAUGCUGUAGGUACAUAAAUGACAUUAUUAUAUAUGCCAUUCUAAAAUUUACUUUUUUCAUUCAAGAUGUACAUUCUAUCUAUGUUGGUAUAAGUAAAUAUAGCUAUGCUUUUUAGAUGCUACAGAGUAUUCCAGUGCAUGAAUUUACCCCAUUUUAUUCAUUGAAUUAUCUACUAGGAAAAUAAAAUUGCUUCCAUUUUUCACUUUUGUAAACAAUGCUGCUAAAAAUUCUUAUCUAUAUUUUCUUAAGCAUGUAUGCUAGAGUCUCUCCACAGUAUGUACCUACAAAUAGAAAUUUUAGGUAACAGAAUAAGUGCACUUUUGAUUUUAUAUGUUACGCUCUCCAAAAUAGCUGCAUAAGUCUAAAAUCCUACUAAUGAUAUGUUAGAGUUCCCAUUUUUCUCACAUUCUUGUCAAUAAAAGAUAAAAUCAGACUUUAAAGAUUUUGCCAUCUGUUAUGUGACAAGAAAAUUUUCACUGCUGUAUUAAUUUGCAUAUACUUAGUAAGUACUGAGGACAUUUUUUCAUAUACUUAUUAGCCAUUAACAUUUCCCCUAUGACUUGUCUAUUGAUAUCCUUUGUUACUUUUCGGUGAUACCUUUUGCCUUACUGGACUAUAAAAUGUUAACAGAUUCUAGGUAAUAAUUCAGAUAUGUGCCUCAAAUAUCUUCUGCCAGCCUGCUGUCUGACUUUUAAUUUGGUUGGUCUAUAGUAUCUUCUAUCCUACAAAAAUUUUAAAUUUUGAUAUAGUCAAAUUAAUAUGAGUUUUCCAUUACAGUAUAUGUUAAACUGUCCUUGAAAUAAAAAGGAAAUCGUAAAGUAAUUAAGAAAUAUUUAGAAAUGCAUUACAAUAAAAAUACAACAUGUCAAACUAUGUGUGACACACCUAAAAUAGUACUUAGAAGUCAGGAAAUGAAAAAGUUUAAAAAUAAACAAACACAGCACAUUCAAUUCUUAAAGGUGGAAAAAUUAACAGAACAAACACAAUGAAACAAGAAGGAAGGAAAUAAUGAAGAGCAGGAAAAAUGAAAUAAGAAUCUAUAAUUUUAAAAAAUAGAGGAGAUUCGCAAAACCAAAUGAUAAUUUUGAAAAGAUGAAAAAAACAGAUGGAUAUUUGCAAGAGUUAUCAAGAAAAGGUGCAAAUGUAAUGCAGAACUAAAGGGGAGAAAUAACUACAAAUACAAUAGAUACAGAAAUCAAGAUUGAAAGCUGCGACAGGACUUGGAGCUGAACCUGCGUCAACCACAACUAAGACUGAAGGACAACAACUUGACUUGGAGCU